GACGAACGCUGGCGGCGUGCUUAACACAUGCAAGUCGAACGGUAAGGCCCUUCGGGGUACACGAGUGGCGAACGGGUGAGUAACACGUGGGUGAUCUGCCCUGCACUUCGGGAUAAGCCUGGGAAACUGGGUCUAAUACCGGAUAGGACCACUGCCUGCAUGGGUGGUGGUGGAAAGCUUUUGCGGGGUGGGAUGGGCCCGCGGCCUAUCAGCUUGUUGGUGGGGUGAUGGCCUACCAAGGGGACGACGGGUAGCCGGCCUGAGAGGGGGACCGGCCACACUGGGACUGGGAUACGGCCCAGACUCCUACGGGAGGCAGCAGUGGGGAAUAUUGCACAAUGGGCGCAAGCCUGAUGCAGCGACGCCGCGUGAGGGAUGACGGCCUUCGGGUUGUAAACCUCUUUCAGCACCGACGAAGCGCAAGUGACGGUAGGUGCAGAAGAAGGACCGGCCAACUACGUGCCAGCCGCCGCCGUAA
This 478-nucleotide ribosomal RNA is filed under the name uncultured bacterium. RNAcentral's name for it is "partial 16S ribosomal RNA". It matches the Rfam family "Bacterial small subunit ribosomal RNA", at positions 28 to 523 of the family's 1533-position model. The record is from RNAcentral.